GUACACGCUGUGACUAGCAUAUCAAUAAGCGGAGGAAAAGAAACUAACAAGGAUUCCCUUAGUAACGGCGAGUGAAGCGGGAAGAGCUCAAAUUUGAAAUCUUAAAGGGUUUCCCUUUACGAAUUGUAGUUUAAAGAAGUGUUUUCUGUUAGAGUUUCGGUAAAAGUUCUUUGGAAUAGGACAUCAUAGAGGGUGAGAAUCCCGUAUUUGACCAUUAUUUUCAGCUUUGUGAUACACUUUCAAAGAGUCGGAUUGUUUGGGAAUGCAGUCCAAAAUGGGUGGUAAAUUUCAUCUAAAGCUAAAUAUUGGCGAGAGACCGAUAGCGAACAAGUACCGUGAGGGAAAGAUGAAAAGAACUUUGAAAAGAGAGUUAAACAGUACGUGAAAUUGUCAAAAGGGAAGCGUUUGACACCAGUGUUGUUUUCUCGAAAAUCAAUUAAAAAUGGCUCGAUUUUGUAUUGCUUGAGACCUUAAAAGCUCACUGUACAUUUUUCGUGUCUUUUUUAAUGCACUUUUCGUUUAACAAGUCAACAUCAGUUUCUUUUGUUGUAAAAGGGUCAUUGGAAGGUGGCUUUCUUUUCGGAGAAAGUGUUUAUAGCCUUUGGCCUCUGCAAUCGGAGAGACUGAGGUCUGCAGCGUAGACUCUUCGGGGUUAGAUACAUUUGUGCUAAGUUAUAGCUUUCUAUAGACAACUUGUUGACUAUAAUUAGUCUUGUAGCUUGCUCGCUUAUGCUAUUUUACCUACGCUUAGGAUGUUGAGCGCAUGUCUCUCUCU
This 775-nucleotide ribosomal RNA is filed under the name uncultured Neocallimastigales. Its description in RNAcentral is "partial large subunit ribosomal RNA". It matches the Rfam family "Eukaryotic large subunit ribosomal RNA", at positions 22 to 616 of the family's 3401-position model. The record is from RNAcentral. Lineage: Eukaryota; Fungi; Neocallimastigomycota; Neocallimastigomycetes; Neocallimastigales.